CUACGGAGGGUGCAAGCGUUAUUCGGAAUCACUGGGCGUAAAGGACGCGUAGGCGGGUUGGCAAGUCAGAUGUGAAAUCCUACAGCUUAACUGUAGAACUGCAUUUGAAACUGCUAACCUAGAGUAUGGGAGGGGGAGAUGGAAUUAGUGGUGUAGGGGUAAAAUCCGUAGAUAUCUCUAGGAAUACCGAAAGCGAAGGCGAUCUCCUGGAACAUAACUGACGCUAAGGCGUGAAAGCGUGGGGAGCAAACAGGAUUAGAAACCCUAGUAGUCC
Molecule: ribosomal RNA, 274 nt
Filed under: uncultured bacterium
Lineage: Bacteria
Description: partial 16S ribosomal RNA
Rfam family: Bacterial small subunit ribosomal RNA
Source: RNAcentral